AGGACGACGCUGGCGGCGUGCCUAACACAUGCAAGUCGAGCGAAGAAUACAUAAAGAAAUCUUCGGAUGGAAUUAUGUAUUUCUUAGCGGCGGACGGGUGAGUAACGCGUGAGGAACCUGCCUUGUACUAGGGGAUAGCCUCGGGAAACCGGGAUUAAUACCCUAUGACACUUGAAAGUCGCAUGACUUUCAAGUCAAAGCGAUUUAGCGGUACAAGAUGGCCUCGCGUCCCAUUAGCUAGUUGGCGAGGUAAUAGCUCACCAAGGCGACGAUGGGUAGCCGGCCUGAGAGGGUGAACGGCCACACUGGAACUGAGACACGGUCCAGACUCCUACGGGAGGCAGCAGUGGGGAAUAUUGCACAAUGGAGGAAACUCUGAUGCAGCGACGCCGCGUGAGCGAUGAAGGUUUUCGAAUCGUAAAGCUCUGUCCUAAGGGACGAUAAUGACGGUACCUUAGGAGGAAGCCCCGGCUAACUACGUG
This 482-nucleotide ribosomal RNA is filed under the name uncultured bacterium. Its description in RNAcentral is "bacterial SSU rRNA". It matches the Rfam family "Bacterial small subunit ribosomal RNA", at positions 32 to 507 of the family's 1533-position model. The record is from RNAcentral.